AGAGUUUGAUCAUGGCUCAGAUUGAACGCUGGCGGUAUGCUUAACACAUGCAAGUCGAACGGAAACGAUACUAGCUUGCUAGUAGGCGUCGAGUGGCGGACGGGUGAGUAACGCGUAGGAAUCUACCAGAUAGUGGGGGAUAGCCCGGAGAAAUUCGGAUUAAUACCGCAUAAUCUCUACGGAGUAAAGGAGGCCUCUAAUUUUAUGCUUUCGCUAUCUGAUGAGCCUGCGUAAGAUUAGCUAGUUGGUGAGGUAAAAGCUCACCAAGGCGACGAUCUUUAGCUGGUCUGAGAGGAUGAUCAGCCACACUGGGACUGAGACACGGCCCAGACUCCUACGGGAGGCAGCAGUGGGGAAUAUUGGACAAUGGGGGCAACCCUGAUCCAGCAAUACCGCGUGUGUGAAGAAGGCCUGAGGGUUAUAAASCACUUUCAAUUGUGAAGAAAAGUUAAUAGUUAAUAACUAUUAGCCUUGACGUUAACUUUAGAAG
RNAcentral lists this ribosomal RNA (490 nucleotides) under uncultured marine bacterium. RNAcentral describes it as "bacterial SSU rRNA". It matches the Rfam family "Bacterial small subunit ribosomal RNA", at positions 8 to 487 of the family's 1533-position model. The record is from RNAcentral.